AUGGACGCAAGUCUGAUGGAGCAACGCCGCGUGAGUGAAGAAGGGUUUCGGCUCGUAAAGCUCUGUUGGUAGUGAAGAAAGAUAGAGGUAGUAACUGGCCUUUAUUUGACGGUAAUUACUUAGAAAGUCACGGCUAACUACGUGCCAGCAGCCGCGGUAAUACGUAGGUGGCAAGCGUUGUCCGGAUUUAUUGGGCGUAAAGCGAGUGCAGGCGGUUCAAUAAGUCUGAUGUGAAAGCCUUCGGCUCAACCGGAGAAUUGCAUCAGAAACUGUUGAACUUGAGUGCAGAAGAGGAGAGUGGAACUCUAUGUGUAGCGGUGGAAUGCGUAGAUAUAUGGAAGAACACCAGUGGCGAAGGCGGCUCUCUGGUCUGCAACUGACGCUGAGGCUCGAAAGCAUGGGUAGCGAACAGGAUUAGAUACCCUGGUAGUCCAUGCCGUAAACGAUGAGUGCUAAGUGUUGGGAGGUUUCCGCCUCUCAGUGCUGCAGCUAACGCAUUAAGCACUCCGCCUGGGGAGUACGACCGCAAGGUUGAAACUCAAAGGAAUUGACGGGGGCCCGCACAAGCGGUGGAGCAUGUGGUUUAAUUCGAAGCAACGCGAAGAACCUUACCAGGUCUUGACAUCCAGUGCAAACCUAAGAGAUUAGGUGUUCCCUUCGGG
This 662-nucleotide ribosomal RNA is filed under the name Lactobacillus gasseri. Its description in RNAcentral is "bacterial SSU rRNA". It matches the Rfam family "Bacterial small subunit ribosomal RNA", at positions 371 to 1024 of the family's 1533-position model. Lineage: Bacteria; Bacillati; Bacillota; Bacilli; Lactobacillales; Lactobacillaceae. The record is from RNAcentral.